UCGAACGCGUGUCCAUGUAAUGAUUUUAGGUGCUUGCAUUUGAAAGAUUUAACAUUGAGACGAGUGGCGAACUGGUGAGUAACACGUGGGUAACCUGCCCUCGAAGUAGGGGAUAACACUUGGAAACAGGUGCUAAUACCGUAUAACAACCAAAACCACCUGGUUUUGGUUUAAAAGACGGCUUCGGCUGUCACUUUAGGAUGGACCCGCGGCGUAUUAGCUUGUUGGUAAGGUAACGGCCUACCAAGGCGAUGAUACGUAGCCGACCUGAGAGGGUAAUCGGCCACAUUGGGACUGAGACACGGCCCAAACUCCUACGGGAGGCAGCAGUAGGGAAUCUUCCACAAUGGACGAAAGUCUGAUGGAGCAACGCCGCGUGAGUGAUGAAGGGUUUCGGCUCGUAAAACUCUGUUGUUGGAGAAGAACAGGUGUCGGAGUAACUGUUGACAUCUUGACGGUAUCCAACCAGAAAGCCACGGCUAACUACGUGCCAGCAGCCGCGGUAAUACGUAGGUGGCAAGCGUUGUCCGGAUUUAUUGGGCGUAAAGCGAGCGCAGGCGGUUUUUUAGGUCUGAUGUGAAAGCCUUCGGCUUAACCGGAGAAGUGCAUCGGAAACCGGGAGACUUGAGUGCAGAAGAGGACAGUGGAACUCCAUGUGUAGCGGUGAAAUGCGUAGAUAUAUGGAAGAACACCAGUGGCGAAGGCGGCUGUCUGGUCUGUAACUGA
This 726-nucleotide ribosomal RNA is filed under the name uncultured bacterium. RNAcentral describes it as "bacterial SSU rRNA". It matches the Rfam family "Bacterial small subunit ribosomal RNA", at positions 62 to 743 of the family's 1533-position model. The record is from RNAcentral.